AAAAAAAAAAAAAAAAAAGUUACAUAUACAUAUUAAAUACGUUGCAUGUGUACAACCCUAAUACGUAACUAAUGCACCAUUUUUAUUUCUAAUUCAGAUAUUAUGUAGGUCUACUAACAGCACUAGCACUUUUCCAUUGUUUAGUGUUUGUUUUCUGUCUUGUUUUUUUCAUUUUAUUUUUGAAAAAUGAUAGCACAAAGAAUCAAUGGAAAUCUGUACUAAUAAAAAAAAAAUUUAAAAUUGUUUAUUCAUAUUAGAAAAAGGAUUGUAUACUCAAAUUUUAAUUGUUACACGUUAAUUUUUUUUUUUUUUUUUUUGUUUUUUACAUUUUUAUAAUUUAUACCAAUUUAUACCAAUUUUAGCCUAUUUAAUCAUUUGUUUUGAUCACUCAUUUGCUUACUUAUAUAUUUUCUUUUACCUUUUUAUUUAGUUCUACAACACAUCAAGCGAUGUCCCUUUUUACGUUUUAGUGAGUGCACUCACUGUGUUGAACGGAGUUUUUUUUUGUUUUAGUUGUACAACUUCUAGGAUUGCACAUUUUUCUGAUUUUAAAAAAAAUGACCACAUAUGAGUAUAUCGUUAACAGAUCGAACUCUAAGGAUAAAGAAAAUAAAAACACAAGGACGUGUUUAGAAUGGAUAGUCAUAGAUAAAAAGCGCUUGAAAAGCAAUAAUGAUAUUGAAAAUAUAGAAAAUCCAUAACAUUGAAUUAUCAAAAACUGAAAAAAAAUAAUAAAAUGUUAUUAAAACAAAUAAAAAGGAAAAAA
RNAcentral lists this long non-coding RNA (766 nucleotides) under Piliocolobus tephrosceles (Ugandan red Colobus). RNAcentral's name for it is "lncRNA (ENSPTEG00000010793.1)". The record is from RNAcentral. Lineage: Eukaryota; Metazoa; Chordata; Mammalia; Primates; Cercopithecidae.